ACUCCUACGGGAGGCAGCAGUGGGGAAUCUUGGACAAUGGGCGCAAGCCUGAUCCAGCCAUGCCGCGUGAGUGAUGAAGGCCUUAGGGUCGUAAAGCUCUUUCGCCAGGGAUGAUAAUGACAGUACCUGGUAAAGAAACCCCGGCUAACUCCGUGCCAGCAGCCGCGGUAAUACGGAGGGGGUUAGCGUUGUUCGGAAUUACUGGGGCGUAAAGCGCGCGUAGGCGGAUCGGAAAGUUGGGGGUGAAAUCCCGGGGGCUCAACCCCGGAACUGCCUCCAAAACUAUCGGUCUAGAGUUCGAGAGAGGUGAGUGGAAUUCCGAGUGUAGAGGUGAAAUUCGUAGAUAUUCGGAGGAACACCAGUGGCGAAGGCGGCUCACUGGCUCGAUACUGACGCUGAGGUGCGAAAGUGUGGGGAGCAAACAGGAUUAGAUACCCUGGUAGGAUAGCG
This 450-nucleotide ribosomal RNA is filed under the name uncultured bacterium. Its description in RNAcentral is "bacterial SSU rRNA". It matches the Rfam family "Bacterial small subunit ribosomal RNA", at positions 335 to 799 of the family's 1533-position model. The record is from RNAcentral.